GGGGCGCAGCUGAACCAGCUGGAGAGGCAGCUGGGCCGGGCUGCCCAGCGCAUUGAGGAGCUGGAGGAGGAGCUGCGGAGGUGCCAGGCAGAGCUGGAUAACCUGCACUCAAGCACCCUCCUGACCCAUUGCUGCCCCCCCCGGAUGAAGGGGUUGAGCUGGGCAUUUGGGAGCAAAACCCCAGACUAGAGAACAGAC
Molecule: long non-coding RNA, 198 nt
Filed under: Gopherus agassizii (Agassiz's desert tortoise)
Lineage: Eukaryota; Metazoa; Chordata; Testudines; Testudinidae
Description: lncRNA (ENSGAGG00000019184.1)
Source: RNAcentral